UGGGGAAUCUUCCGCAGUGGACGAAAGUCUGACGGAGCAACGCCGCGUGAGUGAAGAAGGUUUUCGGAUCGUAAAACUCUGUCUUUUGGGGCGAACGUGAGUAUGGUGAACAAUCAUAGUCAGUGACGGUACCAAAGGAGGAAGCCACGGCUAACUACGUGCCAGCAGCCGCGGUAAUACGUAGGUGGCAAGCGUUGUCCGGAAUUAUUGGGCGUAAAGAGCGCGUAGGCGGGAUAGUCAGUCUGUUGUAAAAGUGCGGGGCUCAACCCCGUGAUGGCAAUGGAAACAGCUAUUCUUGAGUGCAGGAGAGGAAAGUGGAAUUCCCAGUGUAGCGGUGAAAUGCGUAGAUAUUGGGAGGAACACCAGUGGCGAAGGCGACUUUCUGGACUGUGUCUGACGCUGAGGCGCGAAAGCCAGGGGAGCGAACGGGAUUAGAUACCCCCGGUAGUCCUGGCCGUAAACGAUGGGUACUAGGUGUGGGAGGUAUCGACCCCCUUCCCGUGCCGGAAGUUAACGCAAAUAAGUACCCCGCCUGGGGAGUACGGUCGCAAGACUGAAACUCAAAUGAAUUGACGGGGUCAUAGCUGUUUCCUG
Molecule: ribosomal RNA, 594 nt
Filed under: uncultured bacterium
Lineage: Bacteria
Description: partial 16S ribosomal RNA
Rfam family: Bacterial small subunit ribosomal RNA
Source: RNAcentral